Molecule: long non-coding RNA, 974 nt
Organism: Ornithorhynchus anatinus (platypus)
Lineage: Eukaryota; Metazoa; Chordata; Mammalia; Monotremata; Ornithorhynchidae
Exons: 3
Source: RefSeq, a predicted model, not a curated record
CGCACCGAAAGGGGCUCGGGACAUGCGGAGCGUGGGCUGUGAUGCUCUUUGAGCGGGGAGGCCGCUGCGGGAACGGAGUCUGGGGUGCCGCCAAGGGCGAUUGUUUUGUUUGCUGUUUGUGUUGGUGGAGAAUUGCCGUGGGGACGGCGAUCUCACGGGUGAAGCUGCCAGGUGCUUUUGAAAAUUGCCUCUGGAAUGGAGAUCCCAGGAACUUGACCAUCCCGCCGAUCGGGAGACUCGGUCCGAGCUCAGCUACUUUACCUCGGCUUCUAAAGUGCCUGAGUCACAAAGCUGUAACCGUGCAUUUCCCUUUCCCCAGAAUCAGAUAUCCUUCCGUGACGGAUAAUCUCGAUUUGGGGCUUUCCCCCCCCCCUUGUCUGUCUCUAGCUUAUGUAAAUGUGGGCGAAAGGGGCUCGAAUCGGAGAUAUUGGUAUUCUUGGGAGUUGUCCUUUUCCGAAACCAGUUCUCUAGCAGCUGCUCUGGCGAGGCCUGAGUCUGGGUUUUCUGAAUUGAAUAUAAGGGUGUGGGAGGGAAAGGCGCAUAACCCAUCUGUGAAUGGAAUGCGCCUCUUGGAACGGGCCUCGUGGCAGCGCAGAAGGAAGCAGAGAGGGAGCAGCGCAUCGCACAAGAGAACGGACUGCAGACAAAGGCGCUGGAUGGGACCGAGAGCCUUUCUCCUCCAGGAACUCAGGAGAAACAGAUGGAAGGAGUUCCGGCCCGAGAACCUGAGCAGAGGGACUGAUUGAUUGAUUGUGGUGCCAACUCGCCCUCUCUCAUCCUUGACGGCCACGUUCCCGCUGGGGCACGGACUACCGUGGGCAAGGAGCAACGAAGUAUCGAUCACGUUGGGAUGAAUCAUCUGCAGAGAGAAAGGAACGGUGACCAUCUUCCUGGAGCAGCAGACGAUGACCGGGGAACCAAUUAAGGUGGGCCUGGCCUUAAAAAACCAGAUCCUUGAGAGGCUACGCACCUGG